Molecule: long non-coding RNA, 2347 nt
Filed under: Cricetulus griseus (Chinese hamster)
Lineage: Eukaryota; Metazoa; Chordata; Mammalia; Rodentia; Cricetidae
Description: lncRNA (ENSCGRG00015038107.1)
Source: RNAcentral
AGGACAUGGCAGAAGACUUCUGUUAUCAUGUAUAAGGAUCAAACAGACUUACUUCCCUUAAUCCUCCAGGCAUUUGGUAGCCACACCUGUUAUCCAACUUGCAGAGUCAAGGGUAAACACACCUGAGCCCAAGUCUGUUGUUAUUUAGAUAAGACAUCGACUACCAAGGCCUAAACAUCCUGCAGUAGCCAAACAUUAGACCUUUAGGUCUUUUGACUUACAAAGGACAGUUUUGAACUCUUUGACAUUGAGGUGAGAAGAAGUGGACCCAUCUUUAUGGGCCCUAACAGCCCAUAAAGUGAAAAACAAGAGCAUUUAUGCUAAUUGACUGGUAAACACUGCGUGUCUACUGAAUGCAAAAUACUAAUGGUGGGGACCGUGAGUUGAUGGGGCAUGAAAAUAAAUGAUGGAAAUACUUUUCUUUCAAGGAAUUAUAUUCAGACAAUGAGAGAAUGACUUAUGUAACUACUAGAAGAGAAUUCAUAAGAAAAAAUUAGGAAAAUGUCCAUGAAUAGCCUCAGUAUAGACCAAAGAUAUUUUGGUAUAGAUCCAUUUAAAACCAGGCACCAUGGAGAAUGCCCAUAAUCCCAGCACUCAGAUGGGUUGAAGAAGAAUAAUUGACAGUUUGAAGUCAGCCUGGACUACAUUGUGCGUCCCUGUCUCACAAGCACAAUAGUAAAUAAAUAAUGUAUGGGUAGUGAAGGGACCAGCUGCCCCUUUCGGCAGCCAUGACAGUAACACGUGCUCGCCAUGACCUUGCCUUGGUCACUAAGAGGUCAGAUGCCUGCCUUGUGGCAAGGAACCAAUCAGAAGUUAGCUGGUGGUGCUAUGCUUUACGGCUCUGGGUGUACUUUACAGACAAGUGCACAGCAAUGAUGCGCAUAGCAUAGCAACCACCUUGGGAGGGCCUAUGGGCCAUAACAACCAAUUGGCCAAUCAACACAGGGCAAGCCCUCCAAGCCUGGAGGCACACCAAUCCUGAGCCUGUGCGUACCCCUAGACACUCCCCUUAUGCUGCCCUACAAGAUCUCUAUGCAUCCAGUUCGAGCUGUCUUUGCUAGCCAUCCGCCAUGGAAUUAGCUCGUUAAACAACAAUGAAGUCUCAUGCAGUUUGCAACAAGUUUUCAAAUCCGCCUGGUGAUUGGGGUGACCUGGGUCCUGGGCUGGGACCCCGGAGGCCUGAGUUUUCCGGGGGUCUAACAGUAGUAUAGGAGAAAAUAGUCACUUUGGUAAAAUAUAGGCUAGUUAAAAAAUGAACAGAACUAAUUUUAAAGGGUGAUUGAAGUAGGGUUUUGUUCUUGGUUUGGUUUGGUUUGGUUUUUUGUGUGUGUUCGUGUCUUUCGUUUUAUUUUGAUUUCGUUUAGUUUCCGAGACAGGGUUUCUCUGUGAAACAGCCCUAGCUGUCCUAGAGCUCACUUUGUAGACCAGGCUGGCAUCCAGACUCACAGAACUCUGCCCGUGUCUUCCUCUCAAGUGUUGGGAUUUAAGGCGUGUGGCACCACACCCUGCAAAAAAGUGAUUGUUAAAGGAACUGGGAAAGAAGUAAAUUUAGUAAAUUGUAUGUGUGCAUAUGUUCAUCUAUACUUUUAUUUUUUCUUUAUGAGUCACGGUUUCUCUGUGUAUCCAUGGCUGUGCUGGAACUCUCUCUCUACACCAGGCUGACCUCGAACUCACAGAUCUGCCCAAGUGUUGGGGUUAAAGGCCUGCACUACUACUGCCCAGAUCAUCUAUGCUUUAAAGAAAUUUGCUGUUAAAGUCCUAAAGACCUCGUGUCACUGGGAUCCUAGAAGAGCUGAUUGAUUCAAGUUUAUAUCCACAGAUCCAUGCUGCUCUCAGCCUUGGUCAAAGAAGCUUCUUACUGCAGUUGGCAGCAGUCAAUGCAGAGACUCAUCACUGGAAAAAAAAAAAAGUAAUGAGAAUAAAUUCUUGUUGAGUGCUCAGCCCUAAAUGGGACAUCUAUAUUAAGCCCCCACCUAGCUAAGACUCAGGACAUGUCACAGGAAAAGGGAAAGAAUGUAAUAGCCAGAGGUUCGGAAGGGAUGCUAUAAAAGGAAACCUUCUGAACAUGACAUGACCAUUAUACUCAUCUCUCAGGAGCUGUGUGUGGUUACCUGCACAAAGUCAAGCCAAUCAAGAUUCCAGCAUGGAUAAGAGAGACUCAGGAGGUUACACUCCAGCUGAGUAGUUGUUGGCAGGUGAUGGCUAGGGAGGAGGGAGUCCUUCACCUUUUUGGGUACCACCACUGAUAAAUUACCCAUGCUCCAGUAAGUGGACCACACUCAUAUUCGUAUAAGCCCAACUAAUUGGACUCAGUGAGUUAUUUUAUUUAAGGAAGGAAGGAAGGAAG